This 289-nucleotide ribosomal RNA is filed under the name uncultured bacterium. RNAcentral describes it as "partial 16S ribosomal RNA". It matches the Rfam family "Bacterial small subunit ribosomal RNA", at positions 355 to 634 of the family's 1533-position model. The record is from RNAcentral.
UAGGGAAUCUUCCACAAUGGACGCAAGUCUGAUGGAGCAACGCCGCGUGAGUGAAGAAGGUUUUUCGGACCGUAAAGCUCUGUUGUUGGUGAAGAAGGAUAGAGGUAGUAAACUGGCCUUUAUUUGACGGUAAUCAACCAGAAAGUCACGGCUAACUACGUGCCAGCAGCCGCGGUAAUACGUAGGUGGCAAGCGUUGUCCGGAUUUAUUGGGCGUAAAGCGAGCGCAGGCGGAAGAAUAAGUCUGAUGUGAAAGCCCUCGGCUUAACCGAGGAAUUGCAUCGGAAACU